RNAcentral lists this unclassified non-coding RNA (2250 nucleotides) under Hevea brasiliensis (rubber tree). The record is from RNAcentral. Lineage: Eukaryota; Viridiplantae; Streptophyta; Magnoliopsida; Malpighiales; Euphorbiaceae.
CCGCUGUCCACACUUUCACUCCACUUCCCAUCUCAGUCCAUUUGCCGAAAUGUCUAACGUCAUCGUCCUCGACAACGGCGGCGGUUUUAUAAAAGCCGGCCACGGCGGCGAACGUGAUCCUGUCACUGUAAUCCCCAACUGCCUCUACCGUCCUCUCUCCUCCAAGAAAUUCCUACAUCCAUCUCCCACAGCCUCUGCCUCAACCGAAGACCUAACCUCCGCCGCUGUUCGCCGUCCAAUUGACCGCGGCUACCUCAUAAACCCCGACCUCCAGCGGGAUAUCUGGAGUCACCUCUUUACCUCUCUUCUCCACAUCACUCCCUCCAAUUACUCCCUUCUCUUGACGGAACCUCCCUUCACUCUCCCAUCAAUCCAGCGUGCUACAGACGAGCUUGUCUUCGAGGAUUUUGGUUUCAAGUCCCUUUUCAUCACCGACUCGCCCAAGCUUGUUCAUCUUUACGAGGCGAGUAGGAGGCCUGAUGGGUUAAUCUCCAAAGCGCAGUGCAGUCUGGUGGUGGAUUGUGGGUUCUCGUUCACUCAUGCAGCUCCUGUUUUCCAGAACUUCACGCUUAAUUACGGAGUGAAGAGGAUUGAUUUGGGUGGUAAAGCGCUGACCAAUUACUUGAAGGAGUUGGUUUCUUAUCGCUCGGUGAAUGUGAUGGACGAGAGCUUUCUUAUGGAUGAUGUGAAAGAGAAACUUUGCUUUGUUUCCCUUGAUAUUGCUCGCGAUUUGCAGGUUGCCAGAAAACGUGGGAAGGACAAUGUCUUGCGCUGUGUUUAUGUUCUUCCUGAUGGCAUCACCCACACUAAGGGUUUUGUGAAGGACCCAGAUGAAGCAAAGAGAUACCUCACUAUGACUGGUGUGGAUUCUCCAUCUUUAGAAACAAUAAAGGGUAUAGAUCGACCUGAACUUUCAGAGAAGCUGGAGGACCGAAGGAGAAUUGAUUUAACGAAAAAUGUGAGCUUGCUGUCUUUGGAAGCAUGUAUUCAGCUUAAUUCUACUGUCUCUUUAAUUUUUACUAUCUGUGCAGGAGUUUGAGUUGACAAAUGAACGGUUCCUUGUUCCAGAAAUGAUCUUCCACCCUGCAGAUUUGGGGAUGAACCAGGCUGGACUAGCAGAGUGCAUAGUUCGAGCAGUCAAUUCCUGCCAUCCUGUUCUUCAUCCUGUACUCUAUGAGAGCAUUAUAUUGACUGGUGGAAGCACAUUAUUUCCUCGAUUUUCUGAGAGACUGUAAGCCCAUAUUCCUUUCCUGUUUUCUUGUGUACUAUAAAUCUUAUUUUUGAUUUGUGGACUUCUAUUCAUGUCUUUGGAGGAAAUUGCAGUGAAAUGGAGAUCCGGCCUCUUGUCCCUGAUGAGUAUCAAGUGAAGAUAACCACGCAAGAAGAGUAAACUCUUCACUCUUGGAAAGUAUUAAUUUGCCUUUUUUAAGUGCCACUGUUUCCUAUUUAGUAAAAUCUUGUGGUGCUUGUCCAGUCCCAUACUAGGUGUGUGGCGAGGUGGAUCACUUUUGGCAUCGAGUCCUGAUUUUGAAGCAAUGUGUGUCACCAAGUCUGAGUACGAGGAACUUGGAUCUGCUCGAUGUCGUAAGAGAUUCUUUCAUUGAGCGCUUAAAAUGCUGAAGGUAUCCUAUAUCCUUACUGACAUAGAAAUGUGUGCAAUCUGUUCAUGAACAUUACAGAUGAAAAAUAUUUUUGCCACCCAAAUUCUUCAUAUACAUAAUUUAUGCUAAUUGUCCUACUAGUUUUAAUCAAACAGCAUAAAGUAAAAUGCAGCUGGUGCUAAGCUUUCUUCCAAGCUUUGCUGGGUCGUGUUGGUUAUUGGCUUGCAUAGGAAGGCAUGGGCCCAAUCCUUAUGUUGAUCAGCUCGAUAUGGUCAAGUGCUAGCACUCAGAAGGACUCUUGGUGACAAAUUUCAAUAUCAAUUGGUAGUUAAUUUAUCCUGGUGCUAGCUGACCCCCUCAUUUUUGCCUCAAGGGUAAACCAUAGACAACCAGAUAUUACAGAUACAUUGGAGUGUCAAGUGAUGGUGACCCAAGGUCAAAUUCGCAGGAAAAUUCCUGUUUAUUGGGGGUGACUCUGCGAGCAAGAUCUUGUUUUGUUGUGUAAUUUGAUGAAAUUUUCUGGGCAUUGUAUUUAAGAUUGUGGGUUAAUGUUUGUCACAUUUCAAGUGAAAUUCACCAAAACUUCCAGUGAAAAUGCAAAUGCCCCAUGAUUAUUAUUUUAGAAUUGCAAAUAGAUACCGAAUCAUAA